Molecule: ribosomal RNA, 254 nt
Filed under: uncultured bacterium
Lineage: Bacteria
Description: partial 16S ribosomal RNA
Rfam family: Bacterial small subunit ribosomal RNA
Source: RNAcentral
CACGUAGGGGGCAAGCGUUGUCCGGAUUUAUUGGGCGUAAAGAGCUCGUAGGCGGUUCGGUAAGUCGGGUGUGAAACCUCCAGGCUCAACCUGGAGAUGCCACCUGAUACUGCUGUGACUCGAGUCCGGUAGGGGAGCGUGGAAUUCCUGGUGUAGCGGUGAAAUGCGCAGAUAUCAGGAGGAACACCAGCGGCGAAGGCGGCGCUCUGGGCCGGAACUGACGCUGAGGAACGAAAGCGUGGGUAGCAAACAGG